CCUGGCGGCUGAGAGGUUAAAGCGUCUGCCUGCAAUGCGGGAGACCCGGGUUUGAUCCCUGGAUCAGGA
Molecule: transfer RNA, 69 nt
Filed under: Bos grunniens (domestic yak)
Lineage: Eukaryota; Metazoa; Chordata; Mammalia; Artiodactyla; Bovidae
Also listed under: 2 other names
Rfam family: tRNA
About the family: Transfer RNA (tRNA) molecules are approximately 80 nucleotides in length.
Source: Rfam by way of RNAcentral